AGAGUUUCUUUCUGGCUCAGGAUGAACGCUGGCGGCGUGCCUAACACAUGCAAGUCGAGCGAUGAAGUUUUCUUCGGGAAACGGAUUAGCGGCGGACGGGUGAGUAACACGUGGGUAACCUGCCUCAUAGAGGGGAAUAGCCUUCCGAAAGGAAGAUUAAUACCGCAUAAUAUUAUCGAGUGGCAUCACUUGGUAAUCAAAGGAGCAAUCCGCUAUGAGAUGGACCCGCGUCGCAUUAGUUGGUUGGUGGGGUAGCGGCCUACCAAGACGACGAUGCGUAGCCGACCUGAGAGGGUGAUCGGCCACAUUGGGACUGAGACACGGCCCAGACUCCUACGGGAGGCAGCAGUGGGGAAUAUUGCACAAUGGAGGAAACUCUGAUGCAGCAACGCCGCGUGAGCGAUGAAGGUCUUCGGAUCGUAAAGCUCUGUCUUUAGGGAUGAUAAUGACAGUACCUAAGGAGGAAGCCACGGCUAACUACGUGCCAGCAGCCGCGGUAAUACGUAGGUGGCGAGCGUUAUCCGGAUUUAUUGGGCGUAAAGGGAGCGUAGGCGGAUACUUAAGUGGGAUGUGAAAUACUUGGGCUCAACCCGAGUACUGCAUUCCAAACUGAGUAUCUAGAGUGCAGGAGAGGAGAGUGGAAUUCCUAGUGUAGCGGUGAAAUGCGUAGAGAUUAGGAAGAACACCAGUGGCGAAGGCGACUCUCUGGACUGUAACUGACGCUGAGGCUCGAAAGCGUGGGGGAGCGAACCAGAUUAGAUACCGUGGUAGUCCACGCCGUAAACGAUGAAUACUAGGUGUAGGGGUUUCGAUACCUCCUUGCCGCCGCUAACGCAUUAAGUAAUCCGCGUGGGGAGGGCGGUCGCAAGAGUAAAACUCAAAGGAAUUGACGGGGACCCGCACAAGCUCCGGAGCAUGGGGUUUAAUUCGAAGCAACGCGAAGAACCUAUACCCACACUUGACAUCCCAUGCAUAACCCUUCAUCGGGGAAAUCUGUUCGGAGUCAAGGCGACAGGUGGUGCAUGGUCGUCGUCAGCUUGAGUGGUGAGAUGGAGGGGUAAGUCCCGCACCGAGCGCAUCCCCUCGUGUGAGGUGCGACCCAUAAGUGGAGCAGUCUAGCCAGGCUUCCUGGGUGGAACGGGGGCAAGGAGGGGAAGGCGUCAAAUCAUCAUGCCCUCAAUCAGUAGGCACCCCCGCGUGCUCCAAUGGCGCAUACAAAGAGAAGCGACCUCGGGAGAGCGAGC
Molecule: ribosomal RNA, 1244 nt
Filed under: uncultured bacterium
Lineage: Bacteria
Description: partial 16S ribosomal RNA
Rfam family: Bacterial small subunit ribosomal RNA
Source: RNAcentral